UUAACCCAACCUCAACUACCCCUCCUCUAACCCUCUCUCUCUCAUGGCAUCUCCUCUAACUCUCUCUCUCACGGCCGAAGAAGAAAAGAAAGAAGAAAGCAAUCUCUAACUGUCUCCCUCGCUGUGGCUCCGAUGCCUUCGACACAGCUUUUUUCCGACGUCAGGAAAAAGAACUUGGUAGAGAAGUGACUGAUCUUGAGUUAUUUUCAAGAUGCCAUAGAAAGAACAAAGGAAUUGGGGAGCUCAUCAACAACAAAUCCAAAAGAAUUAGUGAUGAAUACCUUGCAAAAACCGGGUUGUACUGAUGUUUUUUCACAUUCUUCAUUCGAUAUCUCAACUUGGUAUGAUAUCACUGGAGGUCCUUCUAAUGGACGCUUAUAUGGAUUUGGAUGUAGCUCCUCUUGUACAAGUUCAAGUUAAGUCAGUUCUACUCUUAAUGCAUCUGACCAGAAGAUUAAUGAGUUAACAAAAGUUAUGGAGGACAUGCGCUCUAAUGCUGCAAAAAUGGAAGAAGAAUUUUCAAGACGAGAAGAAGAAAAUAGAAAAUUACUUAAAAUUGCUCUUGAAGAAGCUAGAAACUGGGAGGAAGAGGCUCGAAAGAGGGAGGCAGACCUACAAGAAUUAGUUCGAAAAUUACUUCAAGAUGUGGGAUACACAAACCAUCAAUUUGCUGGUGGGUCUGGACAGCAGGAGCAACAACAUUCCAGGAAAGAUAAUUAGUUUAUUUUUUCUGUUGGUUGUUUAUGACUUAGUUUAUAUUAGUUUUGUUGUAUUAUGAGUAUCUUUUUUGUUAAUAUUUAUUGUUCUUAUUUGGAAACUUCAGAUUUUGGUAUUGAUUGAAUGUAUUUG
Sesamum indicum (sesame) is the source of this 849-nucleotide long non-coding RNA. RefSeq lists it as uncharacterized. The record is from RefSeq and is a predicted model, not a curated record. NCBI's taxonomy places the organism in Eukaryota, Viridiplantae, Streptophyta, Magnoliopsida, Lamiales, Pedaliaceae.